This 230-nucleotide ribosomal RNA is filed under the name uncultured bacterium. RNAcentral's name for it is "partial 16S ribosomal RNA". It matches the Rfam family "Bacterial small subunit ribosomal RNA", at positions 568 to 796 of the family's 1533-position model. The record is from RNAcentral.
CAUGUAGGCGGCUCGCCAAGUCUGAUGUGAAAGCCCUGGGCUCAACCCAGGAAGUGCAUUGGAAACUGGCGAACUUGAGUACGGGAGAGGAAAGUGGAAUUUCGAGUGUAGGGGUGAAAUCCGUAGAUAUUCGAAGGAACACCAGUGGCGAAGGCGGCUUUCUGGACCGAUACUGACGCUGAGAUGCGAAAGCGUGGGGAGCAAACAGGAUUAGAUACCCUGGUUAGUCC